Molecule: ribosomal RNA, 254 nt
Filed under: uncultured bacterium
Lineage: Bacteria
Description: partial 16S ribosomal RNA
Rfam family: Bacterial small subunit ribosomal RNA
Source: RNAcentral
UACAGAGGGCGCGAGCGUUGUCCGGAAUCACUGGGCGUAAAGGGCGCGUAGGUGGCCACUAUAAGGCCGCGGUGAAAGUUCGGGGCUCAACCCUGAAUCGGCCGCGGCGACUGUAGGGCUUGGGCACUGUAGAGGCAGAUGGAAUUCCGGGUGUAGCGGUGGAAUGCGUAGAGAUCCGGAAGAACACCGGUGGCGCAAGCGGCGCUCUGGGUCGAGCCUGACACUGAGACGCGAAGGCAUGGGGAGCGAACGGG